UAUAUAUAUAUAUUCUCGUCUCACCAAAAUCUAAUAAUAUGGUUCAAGAAUUUAGCUCUAUGAUUUUACAUUGAGAUCAAAUUUUAUGCAGCAUUCUCUUUAAAGCACACCGAUCUUCUUUUUCUUUUGCUGAUAUGAAGAUUAGAACACAAGUUUUCUGCUUUCGGUUCUAGCCUAAUUGACACUCAAUUCGGUAUCGAAUUGAAAAUGGGACUUUUUUGUCUGGUUAUGUCAUAGAGGAUUUCUGAAUUAAAUAGCCUGAGUAAUGCUUAUUUCUAAAAUCUAAGCUAAAUAGUUUGCGAGUUUGACACUCCACAUGGAAUGACAAUUUAUUUUAUACAAUAAUCCCUACCAAGUAAGAAGUAACAUGACGUAACUUUAACAACAACCUUGCAAAUAUAUUUUUUCUUAAAGCAAUCAACAGAUAAUCUAGUAUUUCUUCUAACUGCACCAUUUCCAGCCAUCAAUCCGGAUCUUGUGGGGCUGAAAUGCACUGCAUUGCCGGGCCAGCUGAAUGGAUCCAAACGAUCCUUGCAGCCCAAGUACCAAAGUUUCUCUUCAGCAUGGCCUUCUGUGCUGAUUCACGAAAAAGGGAUGGCAUGUUAAAAUAUAACAAUGUGCAUGGAAUGAUCUGCAAGCAUUCAAAAAAGUUAGUGAAUGCCGUGCCUACCUGCUUACAUCCACUUUUUUUUUUUUAUAGACCGGCGCCUCAUACUAGACGAGCAUGAGUACAACCUGAACAAUCUGAAAUGAGUAUAUGACGCAGAUCAGGCGGGACGACCUCAAUAAUUUUCCAAAGAAAACCUCUUGAAUGGUGCGCAGUAAAGAAUGCAACCCAAUCGGCAGCUUUGUUCAUCUCCCAAAAAUGCACGUGGCUGGGAGGAUGCUUGCAUCCACUUCAUUGACUCCACAAAUACUAAAGAGGCACCUAUUUUCUUCCAUUCGAUGUGUGAUAGCCCAGUUUCUUUGGGCUAAUGGGCCGAUAGGCCGGGCCCGUUGGCGCUUAAGCGGGCCCUGUUGCACGCGGGAGGAGAAGGAGAAGACUCCCUUCCUCAAUAUCUCCGGAUUCUGGAGUCCUAUGGCGAGCCAACUUCAUCCAAAACCCUAGAAUCCUAUUAUUU
This 1121-nucleotide long non-coding RNA is filed under the name Phoenix dactylifera (date palm). Its description in RNAcentral is "long non-coding RNA (PDAC_LNC015817)". The record is from RNAcentral. Lineage: Eukaryota; Viridiplantae; Streptophyta; Magnoliopsida; Arecales; Arecaceae.